RNAcentral lists this ribosomal RNA (450 nucleotides) under uncultured bacterium. Its description in RNAcentral is "bacterial SSU rRNA". It matches the Rfam family "Bacterial small subunit ribosomal RNA", at positions 329 to 793 of the family's 1533-position model. The record is from RNAcentral.
AGCCAGACUCCUACGGGAGGCAGCAGUGGGGAAUAUUGCACAAUGGGGGAAACCCUGAUGCAGCAACGCCGCGUGAGUGAAGAAGUCUUUCGGUAUGUAAAGCUCUAUCAGCAGGGAAGAAAGAAAUGACGGUACCUGACUAAGAAGCCCCGGCUAACUACGUGCCAGCAGCCGCGGUAAUACGUAGGGGGCGAGCGUUAUCCGGAUUCACUGGGUGUAAAGGGAGCGUAGACGGCCAAGCAAGCCAGGGGUGAAAGCCCGGGGCCCAACCCCGGGACUGCCCUUGGAAUUGCACGGCUGGAGUGCGGGAGGGGCAGGCGGAAUUCCUGGUGUAGCGGUGAAAUGCGUAGAUAUCAGGAGGAACACCGGCGGCGAAGGCGGCCUGCUGGACCGCGACUGACGUUGAGGCUCGAAAGCGUGGGGAGCGAACAGGAUUAGAUACCCGUGUAA